UUCAAGGCCAGCCUGGGCUAGGUAGCAAGACCUUGUCUCAAAGGUUUUGUCUCAAACACACACACACACAGCCUUUCUAAUUCCCUGGUGGUUUUAAGGACGUUCAGAGGGGCCCACCUAGGCUAGUGGCUGCUCUUCUUGGGAGGCUGAGUCUCGCAUCCUGUGUCUCCAACCCUGACCCUUGCCUUCCUGCUGCUUCCUCAAGCUGUGUCUGCCCGGGAGGCAGGAAUGAAGCCAGGGACCUGCCCGCCCGCACAGGCGGGCCACAAAGGAGCCCUGACAACUUCAUCAAAGCGAACCCAGAACCUGACCUCUCCUCACCCUGGCGGCGCUCAGUGCCACGUCACAAACAUUCCGCGCGUGGCCGCCAGAGGGCGCCGGCAGCCCGCCCCCAGCUCGCGGCUCCACCUCUAAGCGGGGCCCAUCUAGGGCCCCAGAGGCCCUGCAGCAUCUGGGCUCCUAUGUGCCUUGCCCUAGCUCCCGCACUACUCUGCGCUGUCCCUCCCAAGCGCCAGCAGGGUGUCUGGGUGAUUCCUGGCCGUCUACACUUGCAGCGACAAUUCAGGGUCCCUGAAAACCCUUCCAGAUCUGUACCAGGACUGCAAGUCCCCGUCUGGAAAACCAGCCUGCGCAGUGCCAGAGCUUCCCCUGGGCGUCUUUCCUACUGAGGAACACGUGAUUAUUAGGAGAGCAAAUAACAAAGAAAAAUAAUAAUUAUUAGAGCUACCAUGUAAAUAUUUGUCCCGCCCAGUGGGUGAGGCCAUCAAGGAUCACCAGGUCCCAGCCCAUCCAGUUCCAGGAAGCCUGACAACAUCCACACCGCACCCGAGGCGCGUGGCCCUGCUAUCUCUGCCCCAGACUCCUCCAGUUUCCUCGCAUCGAGGGUUGGGUUUAAAGUUUUUAAAUAUUG
Molecule: long non-coding RNA, 910 nt
Organism: Chinchilla lanigera (long-tailed chinchilla)
Lineage: Eukaryota; Metazoa; Chordata; Mammalia; Rodentia; Chinchillidae
Exons: 3
Source: RefSeq, a predicted model, not a curated record